UAGGGAAUCUUCGGCAAUGGACGAAAGUCUGACCGAGCUACGCCGCGUGAGUGAAGAAGGUUUUCGGAUCGUAAAACUCUGUUGUUAGAGAAGAACAAGGACGUUAGUAACUGAACGUCCCCUGACGGUAUCUAACCAGAAAGCCACGGCUAACUACGUGCCAGCAGCCGCGGUAAUACGUAGGUGGCAAGCGUUGUCCGGAUUUAUUGGGCGUAAAGCGAGCGCAGGCGGUUUCUUAAGUCUGAUGUGAAAGCCCCCGGCUCAACCGGGGAGGGUCAUUGGAAACUGGGAGACUUGAGUGCAGAAGAGGAGAGUGGAAUUCCAUGUGUAGCGGUGAUAUGCGUAGAUAUAUGGAGGAACACCAGUGGCGAAGGCGGCUCUCUGGUCUGUAACUGACGCUGAGGCUCGAAAGCGUGGGGAGCAAACAGG
RNAcentral lists this ribosomal RNA (429 nucleotides) under Gemmatimonadota bacterium. RNAcentral's name for it is "Gemmatimonadetes bacterium partial 16S ribosomal RNA". It matches the Rfam family "Bacterial small subunit ribosomal RNA", at positions 355 to 776 of the family's 1533-position model. The record is from RNAcentral. Lineage: Bacteria; Pseudomonadati; Gemmatimonadota.